CUGCAUUCUUAAACCCUCUUGGCGGCUUCGCUCCCAGUGCUUCCAAGAUAUGAGUGAAUGCGAGAGGAACUGCGGGGAGUCCAAAGGCUGCGCUUCUCCCGUGGCUCAGCUUUAUUUCAUACCUGCGACAUCU
Small nucleolar RNA from Castor canadensis (American beaver), 133 nucleotides. Lineage: Eukaryota; Metazoa; Chordata; Mammalia; Rodentia; Castoridae. The record is from Ensembl.